Molecule: unclassified non-coding RNA, 314 nt
Filed under: plant metagenome
Description: partial contains 5.8S ribosomal RNA, internal transcribed spacer 2, and large subunit ribosomal RNA
Rfam family: 5.8S ribosomal RNA (bases 1-105)
Source: RNAcentral
GAAAUGCGAUAAUUAAUGUGAAUUGCAGAAUUCAGUGAAUCAUCGAGUCUUUGAACGCACAUUGCGCCCCCUGGUAUUCCGGGGGGCAUGCCUGUCCGAGCGUCAUUGCUGCCCUCAAGCACGGCUUGUGUGUUGGGCUUCCGUCCCUGGCAACGGGGACGGGCCCAAAAGGCAGUGGCGGCACCAAGUCUGGUCCUCGAGCGUAUGGGGCUUUGUCACCCGCUCCCGUAGGUCCAGCUGGCAGCUAGCCUCGCAACCAAUCUUUUUAACCAGGUUGACCUCGGAUCAGGUAGGGAUACCCGCUGAACUUAAGC